UCGCCUUCUAGAAAACUCCACCCUUGUGUAUUUAUAAUUUGUUGCUUUGGCAGGCCGCGAGAUUGCUUAUAGCGAUUGAGCACCGGCUCCGGCUGGAGAGUGCCUGCCAGAGGACCCCAACUCUGUUAUUAUGUCGUCUGAGUACUAUUUAAUAGUUAAAACUUUCAACAACGGAUCUCUUGGUUCUGGCAUCGAUGAAGAACGCAGCGAAAUGCGAUAAGUAAUGUGAAUUGCAGAAUUCAGUGAAUCAUCGAAUCUUUGAACGCACAUUGCGCCCCUUGGUAUUCCGAGGGGCAUGCCUGUUCGAGCGUCAUUAUAACCAAUCACGCCCUGUGCGUGGUCUUGGGGUUCGCGAUUCCCGCGUCCCUUAAAACCAGUGGCGGUGCCGUUGGGCUCUAAGCGUAGUAAUUUCUCUCGCUAUAGCGUCUUGCGGUUGCUUGCCAUAACCCCAAAUUUUUCAGGUUGACCUCGGAUCAGGUAGGGAUACCCGCUGAACUUAAGCAUAUCAAUAAGCGGAGGAAAAGAAACCAACAGGGAUUACCUCAGUAACGGCGAGUGAAGCGGUAACAGCUCAAAUUUGAAAUCUGGCUCUUUUAGGGUCCGAGUUGUAAUUUGUAGAAGAUGCUUUGGGUGUAGCUCCGGUCUAAGUUCCUUGGAACAGGACGUCAUAGAGGGUGAGAAUCCCGUAUGUGACUGGUGGCUUUCGCCCGUGUAAAGCUCUUUCGACGAGUCGAGUUGUUUGGGAAUGCAGCUCAAAAUGGGUGGUAUAUCUCAUCUAAAGCUAAAUAUUGGCCAGAGACCGAUAGCGCACAAGUAGAGUGAUCGAAAGAUGAAAAGCACUUUGGAAAGAGAGUUAAACAGUACGUGAAAUUGUUGAAAGGGAAGCGCUUGCNACCAGACUUGCNGGNCGUUGAUCAUCCGGGGUUCUCCCCGGUGCACUCGGCGGCUUUCAGGNCAGCAUCGGUUUNG
RNAcentral lists this ribosomal RNA (969 nucleotides) under uncultured fungus. RNAcentral's name for it is "eukaryotic LSU rRNA". The stretch from base 464 to 969 matches the Rfam family "Eukaryotic large subunit ribosomal RNA", at positions 1 to 510 of the family's 3401-position model. Lineage: Eukaryota; Fungi. The record is from RNAcentral.